This 1842-nucleotide long non-coding RNA is filed under the name Monodelphis domestica (gray short-tailed opossum). RNAcentral's name for it is "lncRNA (ENSMODG00000043063.1)". Lineage: Eukaryota; Metazoa; Chordata; Mammalia; Didelphimorphia; Didelphidae. The record is from RNAcentral.
CGGAUCUCUUUCAGCCUGGGAGCCUCCUUCCCUUUGGCCUCCGGGCCACUCGGUAGAGGCGGCCUCUCUUGCGGGGCUCCCCAGUCCCUUCUAGUCCUUUCAGCCUCCCUUUUCAUCGCUUUCCCCCCACAGCACUUCACUCCAGCCAGGGAGCAUCUCCCAGCACUGGCCCUCGAAGAAGACCUGUACUUUCCCACCUCCGGGCCUUUGCUUCCACCAUUGCCCCUCGCCGCCUCUUCCGCCCCCUCUUCCUGGAAGCCUUCCCCGACCUCCCUCCUUCAGCUCCCUCCGCCUCCCCUCGUGUGGGCUGCUCCUGGGGAUUGGUCUGGUUUCCAGUCAGGUCGGGUCCGGCCCCCCCCAACCAGCCCAAAGUUGGGGCGCCCAGUCACACCGCAGCCCCAGCCGCCAAAGGACCCGCAUCGCUAUUCCAGACUUCCCCGGGGCUGCCCUCCCGGCGCCCUUGGAGCACCCCUGGGGGCGGCCCAGGCAGGGCCGGGCGGGCUAUAAAUAGCUGGCUCCGGGCUGGGGCGGGCGCUGCCCUUGUUUCUGCCAGCCGGGGCUGGGAGGGGGGAGCACUCGGCGGACACGCCCAUCCCCCGCGCGGGUCGGUCCGCAGAGGGGAUGGGGCCGGAGGAGAGGCCGAAGAGGCCCGGCGCUCCGAGCCAUGGAGCGCCCCGGGCGGAGCUUCCAGGCGGCCCUCUGGGUCCUGGCACUGCCUCUGCUGCUGCCCCCGGUACAGGUUGGAUGAGGUGGUCGCAGAUCUCCCUUCAGCUCUGAGAUGCUGCCAUGAUGGAAGGCUUCCCAGAAGAGGCGCUCGUCUCCUUUGGGGAGCCCUCCUUUGAAGGCUUAGAUUCCCUGCAAGUUCACAGUGUGUUCCCUCUUCUCCUUCGAGAAGCUUGGCAGGAACCUCCUCCCAGAACAAGGGUGUGUGAAGGUUUGCAAAGGUUAUAGCCCAACCGUUGUGUCCCCAUUCCCCUGAUGAGGGAACUGAGGCUCACAGAAAUUAAGGGACUUGCCCACAGUUCCCCCAACAGGCAUGGAGCUGAGAUUGGACCCCAGAUUUUCUAGGCUUUCUCUACUGUCCUAAGCUGUCUCCUCCUGAGGCAAAGCUGAAGAAGAUCUGGGCCUUUUGAAGGCCUGUGCCUAGCAAGCAGGGGCCGAGAUUUGGCUCGGAUUCCUGGUAUUGUAGGAACUUGGACAAGUCACUCCCCAGCUUUCUCCCACCCUCUGUCUUUGUGUCCCCUUCUCUGUAAAGUGGGAAGGGCAAUCGCGCGCACUCCAGAGGGAUUUUGAAGGCCUGGCCCCCUUUGUGCUUCCAGACAACAUUCCUGGGGCCUUGUUCUUGUUCUUCUGACCCUCCAGAUGGCUUUAGCGUUCUUGCAAGCAGCACCCUGGAGGCAAAAGCCGGAAACCUGGGCAGAGGGGCUCCCCCUGAGCCUUUGGCUGCCACCAAAGUGUUGGGGUGUCAACGUGGCCUCUAGGAAGCAACAAGUCAUUCUUUGCAAAGACUGAGGGGAUUACAAAGAAAACUCAUCAUAGCAGAAACGUAGGUGAGGGGACAGAGCCCAGGAACCAGGGAGGCGAGGGGGGACGGCCCCUCCUGAGGCCUCAGUUUCCUCCCUCGGAAAGAGAAAAGCCCUGCCCUGUUCUACCCACCACACAAUGGGGAGGGACACAGACCCCGGAACCCUAAGGGGCCUGGGCGGCCUCUAGUCUAGCCCUUGGCUGAGCAGAAUCCUCUGCCCAGAGCCUUUUGGAUGGCUGCUCCUUCCCUAAAGCCAUCCACUGGCCAGUGCUGCUGCCCCUUAGAGAUGUGGCUCAGGCUGGAGGGACCCUCCUGGU